Molecule: transfer RNA, 93 nt
Filed under: Aspergillus flavus NRRL3357
Lineage: Eukaryota; Fungi; Ascomycota; Eurotiomycetes; Eurotiales; Aspergillaceae
Description: tRNA-Asp (GTC) (tRNA-Asp-GTC-4-1)
Rfam family: tRNA
About the family: Transfer RNA (tRNA) molecules are approximately 80 nucleotides in length. Their secondary structure includes four short double-helical elements and three loops (D, anti-codon, and T loops).
Source: RNAcentral
GGCGAGAUGGCCGAGCGGUCUAAGGCGGUUAGUACUACUUAUAAUCACUUUCUUGUCACGAAAGGGGCGUGGGUUCAAAUCCCACUCUCGUCA